Molecule: ribosomal RNA, 384 nt
Filed under: Ranitomeya fantastica (red-headed poison frog)
Lineage: Eukaryota; Metazoa; Chordata; Amphibia; Anura; Dendrobatidae
Description: partial 12S ribosomal RNA
Rfam family: Bacterial small subunit ribosomal RNA
Source: RNAcentral
GGGAACUACGAGCUAAGCUUAAAACCCAAAGGACUUGACGGUACCCCAUAUCCCCCUAGAGGAGCCUGUCCUAUAAUCGAUAACCCCCGUUUAACCUCACCAUUUUUUGCCAGUCAGCCUGUAUACCUCCGUCGUCAGCUUACCACGUGAGCGUCAGUGAGCCUAAUGUUUCUCCAACUACACGUCAGGUCAAGGUGCAACAUAUAAAAUGGGAAAGAGAUGGGCUACACUUUCUACCAUAGAAAUAACGAAAGACUAAAUGAAACCUAGUCAGAAGGCGGAUUUAAGCAGUAAAAUGAAAACUAGAAGCGUUCACUUAAAUGCGGGCCCUGGGGGUGUGGACACACCGCCCCGUCCACCCCUCCUCAACUCUGCCAUAAAAGA